Molecule: long non-coding RNA, 265 nt
Organism: Megalobrama amblycephala (Wuchang bream)
Lineage: Eukaryota; Metazoa; Chordata; Actinopteri; Cypriniformes; Xenocyprididae
Exons: 3
Source: RefSeq, a predicted model, not a curated record
UACAAAGGGGUCAGAAUAACCAUUCGAGUCCAUUGCUGCCAGAUGAGCACAUCGAACUACACCCACAAUCAGACGACUUUGUUGGCUGUUGUAGGUGCAGUUCAACAAGGAGAAUGCAGCCUUGAGCGCCAUGCCACGAGAAGCACCUCCGCCAGCAGAACGUUUCACCUGCUUACGAGGUGUGAAACACAGUCAAUUCACUACAAUGCCAUCAUUACAGUAAAAUUCCCCCCAAACUGUUUACCGUCCCCUCUUCAGCUUACCG